This 761-nucleotide ribosomal RNA is filed under the name uncultured bacterium. RNAcentral describes it as "bacterial SSU rRNA". It matches the Rfam family "Bacterial small subunit ribosomal RNA", at positions 59 to 819 of the family's 1533-position model. The record is from RNAcentral.
CAGUCGAGCGAAGCACUUAUGAAAGAUUCUUCGGAUGAAUUCAUUUGUGACUCGAUCGGCGGACGGGUGAGUAACGCGUGGGUAACCUGCCUCAUACAGGGGGAUAACAGUUGGAAACGACUGCUAAUACCGCAUAAGCGCACAGUACCGCAUGGUACAGUGUGAAAAACUCCGGUGGUAUGAGAUGGACCCGCGUCUGAUUAGCUGGUUGGUGGGGUAACGGCCUACCAAGGCGACGAUCAGUAGCCGACCUGAGAGGGUGACCGGCCACAUUGGGACUGAGACACGGCCCAAACUCCUACGGGAGGCAGCAGUGGGGAAUAUUGCACAAUGGGGGAAACCCUGAUGCAGCAACGCCGCGUGAGUGAAGAAGUAUUUCGGUAUGUAAAGCUCUAUCAGCAGGGAAGACAGUGACGGUACCUUGUGAGAAAGUCACGGCUAACUACGUGCCAGCAGCCGCGGUAAUACGUAGGUGACAAGCGUUGUCCGGAUUUACUGGGUGUAAAGGGCGCGUAGGCGGACUGUCAAGUCAGUCGUGAAAUACCGGGGCUUAACCCCGGGGCUGCGAUUGAAACUGACAGCCUUGAGUAUCGGAGAGGAAAGCGGAAUUCCUAGUGUAGCGGUGAAAUGCGUAGAUAUUAGGAGGAACACCAGUGGCGAAGGCGGCUUUCUGGACGACAACUGACGCUGAGGCGCGAAAGUGUGGGGAGCAAACAGGAUUAGAUACUCUGGUAGUCCACACCGUAAACGAUGGAUACUAG